CGGGAGAUGCUGAAGAUGAUGAUGCGGAAUAUAGCUGCUUCUUCUUCUUCUUAUUGCACCAGCAGGAGAUGGAGAGGAUCAAUUUCAUAUGAUGAUUUUGCUUGUUUAUGUUGAUGACAUCAUACUCACUGGGAGCUGAGUUUGACAUCAAAGACCUUGGCAGGUUAAAUUAUUUUCUUGGCAUUGCGGUUACAUAUCACACUGAUUUUAUCCACCUCCAUCAGACCAAAUAUGCACUUGAAAUUCUCAAAAGACACAGCAUGAUGGAUUGUAAACCGGUCUCUACCCCUAUGGCUUCCAAGGGAAGACUUUCUUGCACACAUGGAGCCCCAUUACCUGACCCGACUACAUAUCGCCAACUUGUGGGGUCCCUUCAGUAUCUAACCAUGAUGUCCAUUUCCUAUGCAGUACAACAUGUCUCUCAGUUUGUUGGUUCUCCCACUGAUGUUCAUUAUGAAGCUGUCAAACGCAUUUUGCGAUACCUCAAAGGCACCCUUGGUCAUGGCCUUCCUAUUCGUCACUCUACCGACUCAUCAUUCCUUGUUGCCUUUUCAGAUGCUGACUGGGCUGGUUGCCCAAAUACCAGACGCUCUACCAAUGGGUACUGUGUCUUUUUAGGCUCCAAUUUAAUUUCUUAGAGUGCAAAGAAGCAACGCACAGUCUCUCGUUCCAGUGCCGAAGCUGAGUAUCACUCCUUAGCCUCUGCAUGUGCAGAUACUAUCUGGAUUCAAGGUCUACUCCAUGAACUUCACUAUCCUAUACAACAUCCUGUCAUCAUUAAUUGUGACAAUCUCUCAGCCACAUAUCUUGCUGCAAAUCCAGUUUUCCACUCCAGGACCAAACACAUAGCUCUUUAUUAUCACUUCGUUCGGGAACGUGUUGCCUCCGGCAGUCAUAGGGUUCGUUUCAUUCCCUCUUCUCAUCAACUUGCAGAUGUCUUCAUCAAAGGAUUAACGACAGCCCGGUUUGACAACUUGAUUUCCAAACUUGUCUCCUCCCCGGUGUCAAGUUCGCGGGGGAGUGUUAGGGAGUUACAAAUUCCUCCUUCCCGUUACAGUAGUUAAUUCCAUUAAUAAUAGGCAAUGGUCAGUCAUAUGUU
Prunus avium (sweet cherry) is the source of this 1099-nucleotide non-coding RNA. The record is from RefSeq and is a predicted model, not a curated record. Lineage: Eukaryota; Viridiplantae; Streptophyta; Magnoliopsida; Rosales; Rosaceae.